Amyelois transitella is the source of this 72-nucleotide non-coding RNA. The record is from the annotation of a RefSeq genome assembly. Lineage: Eukaryota; Metazoa; Arthropoda; Insecta; Lepidoptera; Pyralidae.
GCCUCUGUGGCGCAGUGGUAGUGCGCUUGUCUGUGACACAGGAGGUUCCGGGUUCGAAUCCCGACAAGGGCA